Molecule: ribosomal RNA, 491 nt
Filed under: uncultured bacterium
Lineage: Bacteria
Description: bacterial SSU rRNA
Rfam family: Bacterial small subunit ribosomal RNA
Source: RNAcentral
AAUGAACGUUGGCGGCGUGGAUUAGGCAUGCAAGUCGUACGCACAGCUUCGGCUGUGAGUGGCGCAAGGGUGAGUAAUGCGAAGGUAACCAACCCUGGAGUUGGGCAUAACCGCGGGAAACUGCGGGUAAUUCCCAGCGAUGUCGCGAGAUGGCAUCAUCUUGCGACCAAAGGUGUGAUUCCGCUCUAGGACGGGCCUUCGUGGUAUUAGGUAGUUGGUGAGGUAACGGCUCACCAAGCCGACGAUGCCUACCGGGUGUGAGAGCAUGACCCGGCACACUGGAACUGAGACACUGUCCAGACACCUACGGGUGGCUGCAGUCGAGAAUCUUCGGCAAUGGGCGAAAGCCUGACCGAGCGACGCCGCGUGAGGGAAGAAGGCCUUCGGGUUGUAAACCGUCUUUCGUAGAGGAGGAAGGGGCCGUGCAGAGCGGUCUUUGACCUAUUCUAGGAAGAAGCUUGGGCUAAGUUCGUGCCAGCAGCCGCGGUAAU